Electrophorus electricus (electric eel) is the source of this 1376-nucleotide RNA transcript. RefSeq lists it as uncharacterized. NCBI's taxonomy places the organism in Eukaryota, Metazoa, Chordata, Actinopteri, Gymnotiformes, Gymnotidae. The record is from RefSeq and is a predicted model, not a curated record.
UCAGACAACACAAAGCCUCUUUUGCUGUUGCAUAGUUGAACAAUGUACUGAUUCAUUAGAUUUUACUAUCUCACUGUCUAAACAGUAAAAAUGUUUAGUCAUUUUUUCACUCUUUGCCUCUUCAUAACUGUUAAAACCUCUACAGUCAAUGAAGUUCAAGUACACACAGUUAGGCAGGGAUUUGGUGUGGCAAUUAAAUGUGGCCAAAACAUAGUUCAAUAUGGAAAAAAUCAUUUUUUAGUUUGGUAUAAGGUGAGUUUAGGAAAGGUGCCUCAGUACAUUUUGAGAACAGUUGAGGAUGGUACAAAGUACAGAUUUGCUCGAGCAUUUGCCAAUGGCCACUUCACUGUUUCUCUAAGUGAAGAAAUGUUUGACCUCAAUAUUAAUGAUGUCUCAGAAGAUGACAUUGGAACAUACUUCUGUGGAAUAGUGAAGGCAAAUGUUGUAGAGUUUGGAUCUGGGACCCUUCUGCUAUUUCAAGCUGAAAAGAUCAAGUGGCAGCUUCAGACUGAAAUGGUUUUCAAGGACAGAGAAUAUUCUACAGUCCAGUGUUCACUACAAGCUGUUACUGAGAGUUGCUCAGGAGAACACAGUGUCUACUGGUUCAGACAUGGCUCAAACAAAUCUCAUCCAGGAAUCAUUUACACUUAUGGAAACAGGAGUGAUCAGUGUAAGACAGACUCUGAUGGUGGAUCUCCUACAUGGACUUGUGUCUAUGACCUUCCCAGGAGUUACACCAGACAUUCUGAUGGUGGAACUUAUUACUGUGCUGUGGCUGCAUGUGGGGAAAUACUCUUUGGAAAUGGAACUAAAGUUGAUGUUGAAGAAUAUAAUCACUGGAUUGUUAUUGCGCUGGCAACAUCCAGUAUAUUUAACGUUAUUAUGGUAGUUUUGGUUGGAAUUCUAUUUAAAAAUCAACAGAAAGGUGCUUCCAAUUACAAUCAAAGUCACAUAAAUCAGGCUGAAGACUUUGAUUUAUCAAAUUGCACAGCUGUGAGAUUUACACAGAAACGUUUGUGAUAUCCAGAGUCAAAGACAGUCAAGAUGUUGAUAUACAGAUUAAAGUGAAAUGAAUAUCCAUCAAAAUCAUCACCAACAUGGACAUGUAUCCCCACAUUUUAGGAAAGCUUAAUGAUGUCCCAGAAGAUAGCGCUGCACAUUAGCGGACUAUGGAUCAGAGAGUCUCUACAAAUCGCUGUGCUGUCUUUGUGAAGAAGGAUUCUUUUGCUUGUCAGUGCUUCUCUUAGUUAUUCUCUUAUGGAUAAUAAAGAGCAUUUCUUUGCUACCCUGCCUCUUACUUCCUCUCUGCUGCCUGCGACACAUUCACUACAUCCUGGAGAUAACUAAUUACAUCCAGAAGUCAAUGUGAAGCACUA